Molecule: ribosomal RNA, 1721 nt
Filed under: Rotylenchulus reniformis
Lineage: Eukaryota; Metazoa; Nematoda; Chromadorea; Rhabditida; Hoplolaimidae
Description: SSU rRNA
Rfam family: Eukaryotic small subunit ribosomal RNA
Source: RNAcentral
GAAACUGCGAACGGCUCAUUACACCAGCCUUAAUUUACUUGACCUUGACACCCUACUUGGAUAACUGUGGUAAUUCUAGAGCUAAUACAUGCACCAAAGCUCCAAUCUCCCCAGAGCGGAGCGCAUUUGUUCGCCACAAAACCAAGCGCCUCAGGGCGUUCAGUGUUGACUCAGAACAACUAAGCUGAUCGCACGGUCUUGCACCGGCGACGUGUCUUUCAAGUGUCUGCCUUAUCAACUUUCGAUGGUAGUGUAUCUGACUACCAUGGUGAUGACGGGUAACGGAGGAUAAGGGUUCGACUCCGGAGAAGGGGCCUGAGAAAUGGCCACUACGUCUAAGGAUGGCAGCAGGCGCGCAAAUUACCCACUCUCGACGCGAGGAGGUAGUGACGAGAAAUAACGAGACCGUUCUCAUCUGAGGCCGGUCAUCGGAAUGGGUACAAUUUAAACCCUUUAACGAGUAUCUAUGAGAGGGCAAGUCUGGUGCCAGCAGCCGCGGUAAUUCCAGCUCUCAAAAUGCAUAGAAUUAUUGCUGCGGUUAAAAAGCUCGUAGUUGGAUCUGUGCUGAGCGACCGGUCUGCCCACUGGGCACGCACUGGCUCGCCCGGCUUUCCCUGCCGGUCUCUCUCUGACGUUGGUUUUAACCGACUGGCGUCAGUGGGCUGGCGAGUUUACUUUGAACAAAUCAGAGUGCUUCAAACAGGCGUCUCGCCUGAAUGUUCGUGCAUGGAAUAAUAGAAGAGGAUCACGGUCCGAUUUUAUUGGUUUUGCUGACCGAGAUAAUGGUUAACAGAGACAAACGGGGCCAUUCGUAUUGCUACGUGAGAGGUGAAAUUCUUGGACCGUAGCAAGACGGACUACAGCGAAAGCAUUUGGCAAGAAUGUCUUCAUUAAUCAAGAACGAAAGUCAGAGGUUCGAAGGCGAUCAGAUACCGCCCUAGUUCUGACCGUAAACGAUGCCAACUAGCGAUCCGCCGGCGGAUUCAUUCGCCCUGGUGGGGAGCUUCCCGGAAACGAAAGUCUUCCGGUUCCGGGGGAAGUAUGGUUGCAAAGCUGAAACUUAAAGGAAUUGACGGAAGGGCACCACCAGGAGUGGAGCCUGCGGCUUAAUUUGACUCAACACGGGGAAACUCACCCGGCCCGGACACCGUAAGGAUUGACAGAUUGAUAGCUUUUUCAUGAUUCGGUGGAUGGUGGUGCAUGGCCGUUCUUAGUUCGUGGAGCGAUUUGUCUGGUUUAUUCCGAUAACGAGCGAGACUCUGGCCUACUAAAUAGUUGGCACAUUGCCACUGUGUGCACAACUUCUUAGAGGGAUUUUCGGUGUUCAGCCGCACGAAAUUGAGCAAUAACAGGUCUGUGAUGCCCUUAGAUGUCCGGGGCUGCACGCGCGCUACACUGGCAAAAUCAGCGUGCUUGUCCUCCCCCGAAAGGGGUUGGUAAACCGAUGAAAAUUUGCCGUGAUUGGGAUCGGACAUUGCAAUUAUUGUCCGUGAACGAGGAAUCCCUUGUAAGGGCGAGUCAUCAACUCGUCCUGAAUACGUCCCUGCCCUUUGUACACACCGCCCAUCGCUGCCCGGGACUGAGCCAUUUCGAGAAAACCGGGGAUUGUUGGCCUGACCGCUCUCGGGUUGUCUAGCCGAUGAGAACCGGCUUAAUCGCACUGGUUUGAACCGGGCAAAAGUCGUAACAAGGUAGCUGUAGGUGAACCUGCAGAUGGAUCA